This 3927-nucleotide long non-coding RNA is filed under the name Sarcophilus harrisii (Tasmanian devil). RNAcentral describes it as "lncRNA (ENSSHAG00000027787.1)". Lineage: Eukaryota; Metazoa; Chordata; Mammalia; Dasyuromorphia; Dasyuridae. The record is from RNAcentral.
AAUACUUUGGCCACAAAGUGUUGUUCUAGGGAUAUCUGUCACUUGCUGAUCCUGCCUAAUUUACAUUACCUCUGACAUUCUGCACACUCUACCCCACUGUGCACAUUAUAUUGUAAACUCAUUAGAAAGACAAUACAGCUUUUUAAGGUUUCAGUCUUUGCCAUUGUUGGAAGCAGUUGAGAAAGGAUUUUGCCAAAAGCCCUAUUUUCUCCCACUGAUUUCCAAUCUACUUUGAACAUGAGCCGCCUCCUUCAGUUUUUCAUUAGGUCCAGCACCAACAAGUCUCCCAGCCAUUCAAUCAAACAAUCAAGUGCUUUCUAUGUGCCAGGAAUAGUGAUAAAUGAUAAGGAUACAAGAGAGAGACAACAGGCAAACAGUCACAUACAAACAAGAUUUUAUACACAUGCACAACAGUGAAUCAAUGAAUGAAAUGUAAUCUCAGAGGAAAGGUAGUAGGGGCAAGAGGGGCAAGAGAAGAUCUGCAGAAGGUAGGAUUUGAGCUGAAUCUUGACAUUAUUUUCUGUUCUCUUAUCCUGGCCCCUAUCCUAGAGGAGAAUUGGGACUUCAAAGAAACAUGCUAUUAAAUGGCAGGAUAGCAAAGGUUGAUGGCCAGGAAAGCUGAGGUCUUGUGUUCCUGAACAACAAGAAGCUCAAUGGAAAGCUUACCCAUUUCCUAGAGAGAAGUCAUGUUGGUAUUCUUAGUAUACUUUGUUCCCAUCAGGGAGUUGGGUACUGAAAAUUCCCAACUCAUCUAAAAGGAAGAUUUGGAUUUGAGUCCUGAAAUAUGCCUUCAAUAAUUCUGCUUUGAUAUUUGUGUGUGUUUUGUUAAAUUUACUCAGAUAAACAAUUGUCCGUUGCUUUACACAUACCCACCUAAUGGAAGGUUUAUUUCACUACUCAAAGACAUUCUCUGCUUCCAUUAUCCAUGAUCUCUGACAUAGCCACAUUUGGGAGACUGGUCUAAGGAUGUUGUCCUGGAUGCAGCUCUCACUGAUGGUUUGAGAGACUGAGGAUUCCUUGGCAUUCUUUUGCUCAAAACCCAGGCACUUCACAAUAUGACUUAGAACCCAAGACUUCCCCCACGUAACACAGGGAGACAUAGGAAGCAAGACUAUUCAGCCCUUUGACAUUCCCUUUGGACAGAACCUCAGGCAGUUCAUUGCCCAGCCCAGGACAAGACUCAUGUUAAAAUAAAGGAAUGUGGCAAAAACUCCCCUACAAGACUCCCUAGUAUCUAGAGAACUUUUCUCUUAUUUUCCUUCUUUCAAAGCAAUGCUGAAACCAUGGUAUAAUGGGCUACUGGCUGAAAGCAAACUUAGACUGAAAGGUGGUGCUCUCCUCAGACUACUGGUAGCAGAACUGCUUUCCUGCUCCCACAGGACCCUCUUCCUGACAUGCUGUAAGAGCCCACAUUGGGACCUGCUCAUAGACUCUUGAAGGAGGCCCUGCUGGAGGGACAUUUUCUGCAUUCCACUUCAAAGACCAGUUAAUAUAACUCAUGAUCUCUGUCUCUCUAAACCCAAGUCCAAGAGGCUUCCUUAGCUUUAGACCUUCCAGGGGGGACCAAAUCCAAGGCAAAGUUUUCUCAUUCAAUUUUCUGGUUUGCUUGUUGGAAGACAGGGACUAUUGUUCUUCAGAAGUCUUUGCACCUCUGUCUCAUGCUCAAGGAUGGGCAGGCACAUGGCAUUCAGCAAUGUAGUCCCUUAAUGCCUUGUGACCGUGGGCAAAGGAUAGCCUCUCUGUGUUGGUUCCCUCACCUCCAAAAGAAGGGGUUGGUGACCCUGGGCAAGGUUGGACUAGAUGAUCCCUGAAGUCUCUUCCAUCUUUAAGGCUUGGAGCUUAGGAAGGACUUAGUCAUUAACUUUAGAGGUACAUGCAUGAACAGACAUGGUCCUAAACUCAUAAACUGGAAUGUAUAUCCCAGCUGGUUAUAAUCACAUACCAAUUGUUUGGUUCACACAAAUGCAACCAAAUGCAUAAUCUCACGUGUUCACAUGUAAUCUUAGAACAUCGAUCGGUUUAUUUGUAACGUGUUUUCAUACACCAUACCUACAAAAUGAAAUGAAGCAGCAUGCACAGUGUAUACAUAUAAAAUCAUGCACAAAUCUGUUGGGUGAUUGUGGCCAGUCUGCCCAGAAGUUUAGAUUUUUUGUCUUGGGGGUACAGCUUAGCUCAGCUCUCUUUGGGUCUCUGAAAUUCCUGGCAAGUCUUGAAUUGUGUGGAGCAAAGUGAGGGGUGGGAGGAAGCUCUUGGCUUUAAUUGACGAUUCCUGCUGGGUCUUCCUGACUGACUGGGGCCUCGGAGAUGACACUUCUCUGACCUAAAAGAUGGAGAUAUUUCCUCUUAGCUACCCAUUUGUACCCUUUUGGGGGUAGAGAAAAUACUAGGGGAACAUAAAACUCAAUUUAACAACCAAGAAAUAUAUUAUGGUCAAGAUCCCACUGCUAGGUUCCAUGGACAGAAUUGUGAAUAGAUCCUGUCCAGGAGAUUUCUCUGGGAAAAAAAGUGUGAUUGCUGUCCAAGGGAUAAUUGGACUCUGUCCUUAUGGAAUCUCUGACCUGAGGAAGAUUUACUGCCAUUCUCAGUAAUUUCUGACCUGACAGUAAACUAUAGGGGAGGUGAUGUCCUUGCUUUUAAGUAGUCUCAUGAGAGAUGUGAUGUCCCCAUCUUCAAAAAGCUGAUCUGAGGGAGUAGAAAAAAUAGGCAGAUAUUAAUUUAAGUAAGAUUACAGAUUUACAUAAAAGAGAAAUUGAGAAUAACCGUCUUACAGAUUUCCUCACCUGUUCUUAUCCCCAUUCCUUUAAUAGCAUAAAUUCAAUUUGGACAUGAAUUGUGGUGUAGCUGAAGUAGUGAAUUUGGAGUCAGCCUGGGUCUAAAUCCUAGCUCUGGUACUUAGCCAUAUGCAAAGUUUGGGGAAAAUUCUUUCCUUUUAUGGGCUUCGGUUUCUUCCCCUGCAAAAAAAAGGGGAUUGGACUCAGAGUGGUCUCUGAGAUCUCUUUCAGUUUUAAACUUAAAGUUCAAUAGCCUUACCAUUCUUGAGAUCUGCUUGAGGCUGAUUUGGAUUUUACUCUAGCCUGAGUUCCUGUCAAUUAAGGAGGCCUGAAAUCUGACUGACUGAGGCAUCCUCUCCAAGGGGCCCCAGAGCCUUGCUUCUGAACUGGUUGAAAUCUCUGGCCCUGACAAACAAGGAAGAAACUAGCCAGCAUAAACUCUGUUAUGAUAGUGCAGCACUGCUGUGCAGUUUCUUAGACCCAGAUGGAGGGGAUUUGUGAUACCAUGGAAAGGGCUCCAUAUGGGGAAUCAGAAGACCUGGCUCCCAGUUCCAUCUCAUCAUUGGCUCAGCAGGUGACCUUGGGCUCAACCCUUUACCUCUCUGGGCCAUAUUGACAAUGAUAAUACCCUCUGCCCACCUAGAGUCCAUCAAAAGGUCAUUAUAAAGAUCAGUUUAAAAAGUCAAGCAUGAAUAAGAGCUUUUUUUUUUUUUUUUUGAUGGGGGACAGUGUCUGAAAGUAUGUUCAUCUAGCUGAAUCAUGUUGGGAGUAAUAUCCAGUUGGGAAGCCACAUCAGGUGCAGGGCUCUGGCUGGCCACCACCCUGCCCUUCAUAUCCUGCUCCCUGUUCCACAAUGAGACUGUGGCUCUCUACUCACCCCAGAUUUCCUCCAUCCUUUGCUUCUACUUUUGAGAUUGGUGUUUGAAGAUGAGUGUUCCAGAGAUUCUCUGUAUAUACAUGUAAAGAGAUUGAGAGAUGGAAGAAGGAAACGGGAGGGAAAAGAGAUGACCCCCUGAGGACCAUGGUCAUCUUCAGGGCCUUGAAAAAGGAUCUCUUUGCACCCAUCAUGGGCCCUGCCUGCUCAGAUUCUUUGUUUUACUGUUUCUGUGUCUGUCACAUAAAUUAUUAUAGUUUAUUAAACAACAAAACAAUCUGC